Molecule: long non-coding RNA, 546 nt
Organism: Camelus dromedarius (Arabian camel)
Lineage: Eukaryota; Metazoa; Chordata; Mammalia; Artiodactyla; Camelidae
Exons: 3
Source: RefSeq, a predicted model, not a curated record
UGGACACCCCACAUAUGUUACCCACUGCAUUAGGUCACAUGAGGUCAGCUUCCUAGAGGCCCAGGGUUUGGCUAAAGAUCUUUAAUCUGCAGUCCUUGAAGUUCCCAUGACUCUCCUGAAACCGUCUACCAACUUGCUGGGGGUGUGCUGAAGAAAUCACAGAUUCCAUCGGCUUUUCAAGUGUUCCUAACUGCCUCCAAAAGAUUAAUGACCAGAGCAGGGGAAGAAAGAAAGCAGACCAAAGGUGGACGGCGAUACAGCGGAGCAGGUGCUAUGAUCGAGUGAGGGGUCCGGGGCCCGUCCAGUCCUGACCAGCUCAGCCUGAAGCAGACACAGCUGACUCCACGUUCCUGGAAAACAGCCCAGGCGAACAUCUUACUGUUCAGGCUUCACGGUGCUCGGAGGACGUGCACGUCUUAAAACGACCUUGAUGAGUGAAGGAUUCCAGUGCAGGAUGGGACAUCACAUGCGGCCUCUGAUAUGACACUAAUUCAGCAACACCACUCGUAAAACUUAAAGCUAUUUGCUUAAAAAGACUCUCCAACC